UUGGAUACACAAAAUUGAUUAUCUUACAAGAGGGAAGAAAAAUUUUUGUGAGAAACUUUGCAAAAUUGGUUUAUAUGUUUCAACCACACAACGUCUUUUAUCUCAAGAUUGAAGGUGAGAUCGUGCCUAAUGUGGUCGUGCUAUGGAAUGGGGUUCUUAUGUUGACGUGACCAAAAGAUAUCUAACUCCUUCCAAGUGCACACG
RNAcentral lists this unclassified non-coding RNA (204 nucleotides) under Hevea brasiliensis (rubber tree). Lineage: Eukaryota; Viridiplantae; Streptophyta; Magnoliopsida; Malpighiales; Euphorbiaceae. The record is from RNAcentral.